CUUACCAGGACGACCGCUAUCUGACCACACUGGUUCCAGUGACUGGAUCGUCUGGUCUUCAGUUCCCAACCCACUACAAGCGCUUUGCUGUGAAGAUGUUCACAUUUGUAGAUCCAGCCUCACUGGCUGCUCUGCAGGAAACCAUCUUCAUCCACUGCAGUACAGAGGUGUGCCAUCCAUCAUCUGGCUCUUGUGAGCAAAGCUGCACCAGGAAACGAAGAGACACUCGUAUCAAGGCUGUCUCUGGGGAGCAGACUGUGGUUUCUAGUGGAGAAGUUACUCUGGUCAUGUAAAUCUAGUGUUUUUAAUAAACCGUGCAGAACCCU
Carassius carassius (crucian carp) is the source of this 326-nucleotide long non-coding RNA. RefSeq lists it as uncharacterized. NCBI's taxonomy places the organism in Eukaryota, Metazoa, Chordata, Actinopteri, Cypriniformes, Cyprinidae. The record is from RefSeq and is a predicted model, not a curated record. The transcript is spliced from 3 exons.